GCUGGCUAGGUGCCGAGUGCAGAGUUUAGUGUCGAGUGCAGAUCCUGGUGCUGAGUGCAGAGGGGAUUCCCAACGGCGGGCUAGGUGCCGAGUGCAGAGUUUAGUGUUGAGUGCAGAGGUGGGCGUGGCAAAGCUAGAUGCCGAGUGCAGAUUCUGGUGACGUAAUUUUCAGGCGUGGAGAGGGAUGGGCGUGUCUGAGCUCGAGGCUAGGCAACUGGCCUUACAAUCACAUCUUACCUAACU
Molecule: long non-coding RNA, 243 nt
Organism: Sapajus apella (tufted capuchin)
Lineage: Eukaryota; Metazoa; Chordata; Mammalia; Primates; Cebidae
Exons: 3
Source: RefSeq, a predicted model, not a curated record